Molecule: non-coding RNA, 31 nt
Filed under: Mus musculus (house mouse)
Lineage: Eukaryota; Metazoa; Chordata; Mammalia; Rodentia; Muridae
Source: RNAcentral
UGGUAUCAUGGAGUUCCCCAGGAGGAAUUGU